UNUGACUUGAGUGCAGAAGGGGAGAGUGGAAUUCCAUGUGUAGCGGUGAAAUGCGUAGAUAUAUGGAGGAACACCAGUGGCGAAAGCGGCUCUCUGGUCUGUCACUGACGCUGAGGCUCGAAAGCGUGGGUAGCGAACAGGAUUAGAUACCCUGGUAGUNCACGCCGUAAACGAUGAGUGCUAGGUGUUAGGCCCNUUCCGGGGCUUAGUGCCGGAGCUAACGCAAUAAGCACUCCGCCUGGGGAGUACGACCGCAAGGUUGAAACUCAAAGGAAUUGACGGGGGCCCGCACAAGCGGUGGAGCAUGUGGUUUAAUUCGAAGCAACGCGAAGAACCUUACCAGGUCUUGACAUCCCGAUGCUAUUCUUAGAGAUAGGAAGUUACUUCGGUACAUCGGAGACAGGUGGUGCAUGGUUGUCGUCAGCUCGUGUCGUGAGAUGUUGGGUUAAGUCCCGCAACGAGCGCAACCCUUAUUGUUAGUUGCCAUCAUUAAGUUGGGCACUCUAGCGAGACUGCCGGUAAUAAACCGGAGGAAGGUGGGGAUGACGUCAAAUCAUCAUGCCCCUUAUGACCUGGGCUACACACGUGCUACAAUGGUCGGUACAAUGAGUUGCGAGCCGGUGACGGCAAGCUAAUCUCUGAAAGCCGAUCUCAGUUCGGAUUGGAGGCUGCAACUCGCCUCCAUGAAGUCGGAAUCGCUAGUAAUCGCGGAUCAGCACGCCGCGGUGAAUACGUUCCCGGGCCUUGUACACACCGCCCGUCACACCACGAGAGUUUGUAACACCCGAAGUCGGUGAGGUAACCUUUUAGGGGCCAG
RNAcentral lists this ribosomal RNA (817 nucleotides) under uncultured bacterium. Its description in RNAcentral is "bacterial SSU rRNA". It matches the Rfam family "Bacterial small subunit ribosomal RNA", at positions 636 to 1452 of the family's 1533-position model. The record is from RNAcentral.